GUCGGGAGUCUUGCACAAUGGGGGAAACCCUGAUGCAGCGACGUCGCGUGUGGGAUGAAGUAUUUCGGUAUGUAAACCACUUUUGCGGGGGGCGAAAAAAAUGACGGUACCCCGCGAAUAAGCCCCGGCUAACUACGUGCCAGCAGCCGCGGUAAUACGUAGGGGGCGAGCGUUGCUCGGAUUGACUGGGCGUAAAGCGCGCGUAGGCGGUCCAUUAAGUGUGCGGUGAAAUGCGUAGAUAUACGGAGGAACACCAGUGGCGAAGGCGGAUUACUGGACGAUAACUGACGCUGAGGCGCGAAAGCGUGGGGAGCAAACAGGAUUAGAUACCCUGGUAGUCC
This 341-nucleotide ribosomal RNA is filed under the name uncultured bacterium. RNAcentral describes it as "partial 16S ribosomal RNA". It matches the Rfam family "Bacterial small subunit ribosomal RNA", at positions 354 to 796 of the family's 1533-position model. The record is from RNAcentral.